AUCUCUCUUUGGAGAUUGCUCUUUUUCAAGUCUUUUUGGCAAGCCCAGGACAUAGUAUUUGGACCAUCAAAGAGGAACUUGCUGACAAGAGUUACAUCCCCAGAUAGAAUAGGUGGGUGGAAGUCCACUUCUGUGCACACAGAUUCACAGAAUGGCUGAACUUGGAAGGGACUUCUGGUAGUCAUCCAGUCCAACACCCUGCUCCAGCAGGACAACCUAAAGCAGGAUGUCCAGACCCGUGUCCAGAUGGACAUAAAUUGUUUAUCAGGUGCAUUUCCUUCUAGCUAGCUGCAUUUAUAUUUGAAAGUAUAUUUGUUGCUUGGAACUUUAAACAGUAAUUUACCAUCAUGAAAGCUCUCUAUUCUGAAUCUGUGUCUGUGACUGAAGCACAUAACCAUACUUGGAAACAUUAAUGAUCUCUCAUUCUCCCUUAUUUCCUGGAUUUUGAUUUAUAGGAUCUAGAGCAAAUCUUAUUGUAGUAUUCCAUUUUCAAACAUGUUAGCUGAAAGAACUAGAAAAAAAAAAAACAGCUGGUUAUACUUAUUAAAUAAUCACUUCCAUCUUUCUACCAGCAUUAGUAAUCAUUUCUGUAAGAUGCUGCCAGUGCAAGUUUAAACAACUGCAAUGACUUAGAUUCUACCACUUCCUUCAGAAAUCAAACCACUGUCAGCUGGAAGCUAUCCUGUGGAAAUAUUCCAGAUCCAGGACAUCCUUUUGAGGCCACAGCUCCAUUAACAAACAUUUCACGUAUUCUCUGAAAAGCGAUUGCAUUAGGGUGUAACUACGCUUACAUGGCAGUAAUAAUAAAUUAGAAAGGGACAUUAUGAACUUUUGUAUGGGUUUCCUCUGUGGCGUCUCUUUCUAGAGAAAUAUAUGAGUAAAACAUGCAUGCAGGAGAAAAAAGAGAAAUGCUUUGUGAACUCAAAUGGGCAUCUGUUCCCAAAGUUGUGUUCUUUCUGAUUUCAUCAAUUUUAAAUUUGGCAACCUAAGUGUAGUUAACAGUUGUGCUUGUGUGUACGCCAGAGGGAAACAAUGUAUGCUUGUGUGAAAAGUUUUGUGGCAACAUAAACAAAGCUUGCCAGUAAAAAGGAUUGCCUUUCUCUGUGCUGCAUACUUUAUCCACUGUUUGUCUAGAAUUAAGUGUGCUUGGAAGGGGGUUGCACUUCAGGUACAACUCUCCAAGAUAUUCUUAUCUAUUCUAAUUCACGUGCAAUAUCUUUAAGCAGUAAAAUCUCUGGAGUCUUCAGUCUAAGUAUGAUGAUGUGAAUGUGUGUGCAAACUUCACUCUUGCUGGCUAGGUGAUCGUUGCUUUCCCUAUAUAUGAGAAGUUAGUUGGAAAUUAACCGAACAGCCUGAUCCAAAUCCUUCUGAAAUUAAUUAAAUGGGUUUCUAGUCACUGACAUAAACUUUGAAUGAAGCCACGCUGUUUUCUGCCUGUAGUAGUCUUUAGCCUUCCUUUGUAUUUAUGAGGUUACUUAUGCUUUAUGUAAAAAUGUUGCUGUAAUUCAUCACUUUCUCAGUUUUCUUAAUGUUUAAAUGUCUGAUAGUGUUGAAUAAAUCCAAUAUUACAAAAGUUCACCAUUUAAUGGGGCACAGCAAAUAUAGAGGUGUAAAUAACAGUGUUUAUUUUUCUUUACAAUUAAAAAAUUU
Molecule: long non-coding RNA, 1650 nt
Organism: Gallus gallus (chicken)
Lineage: Eukaryota; Metazoa; Chordata; Aves; Galliformes; Phasianidae
Source: Ensembl